RNAcentral lists this ribosomal RNA (605 nucleotides) under Microbacterium sp. ZAL-02. RNAcentral's name for it is "bacterial SSU rRNA". It matches the Rfam family "Bacterial small subunit ribosomal RNA", at positions 252 to 867 of the family's 1533-position model. Lineage: Bacteria; Bacillati; Actinomycetota; Actinomycetes; Micrococcales; Microbacteriaceae. The record is from RNAcentral.
GUGAGGUAAUGGCUCACCAAGGCGUCGACGGGUAGCCGGCCUGAGAGGGUGACCGGCCACACUGGGACUGAGACACGGCCCAGACUCCUACGGGAGGCAGCAGUGGGGAAUAUUGCACAAUGGGCGAAAGCCUGAUGCAGCAACGCCGCGUGAGGGACGACGGCCUUCGGGUUGUAAACCUCUUUUAGCAGGGAAGAAGCGAAAGUGACGGUACCUGCAGAAAAAGCGCCGGCUAACUACGUGCCAGCAGCCGCGGUAAUACGUAGGGCGCAAGCGUUAUCCGGAAUUAUUGGGCGUAAAGAGCUCGUAGGCGGUCUGUCGCGUCUGCUGUGAAAACCCGAGGCUCAACCUCGGGCCUGCAGUGGGUACGGGCAGACUAGAGUGCGGUAGGGGAGAUUGGAAUUCCUGGUGUAGCGGUGGAAUGCGCAGAUAUCAGGAGGAACACCGAUGGCGAAGGCAGAUCUCUGGGCCGUAACUGACGCUGAGGAGCGAAAGGGUGGGGAGCAAACAGGCUUAGAUACCCUGGUAGUCCACCCCGUAAACGUUGGGAACUAGUUGUGGGGACCAUUCCACGGUUUCCGUGACGCAGCUAACGCAUUAAGUUC